GUGGGGAAUUUUGGACAAUGGGCGCAAGCCUGAUCCAGCAAUGCCGCGUGCAGGAAGAAGGCCUUCGGGUCGAAAAGCUCUGUCAUCAGGGACGAACGGCCGGAGGAGUGGAAAGCCACCGGAUUGACGGUACCUGAGAAGGAAGCCACGGCUAACUACGUGCCAGCAGCCGCGGUAAUACGUAGGUGGCAAGCGUUGUCCGGAAUUAUUGGGCGUAAAGCGCGCGCAGGCGGGAUAUCAAGUCUGUCUUAAAAGUGCGAGGCUCAACCUCGUGAGGGGACAGAAACUGGUAUUCUUGAGUGUCGGAGAGGAAAGUGGAAUUCCAAGUGUAGCGGUGAAAUGCGUAGAGAUUUGGAAGAACACCAGUGGCGAAGGCGACACACUGGCUCAUUACUGACGCUGAGGCGCGAAAGCGUGGGGAGCAAACAGGAUUAGAAACCCCGGUAGUCC
Molecule: ribosomal RNA, 450 nt
Filed under: uncultured bacterium
Lineage: Bacteria
Description: partial 16S ribosomal RNA
Rfam family: Bacterial small subunit ribosomal RNA
Source: RNAcentral